This 422-nucleotide ribosomal RNA is filed under the name uncultured archaeon. RNAcentral's name for it is "partial 16S ribosomal RNA". It matches the Rfam family "Archaeal small subunit ribosomal RNA", at positions 323 to 746 of the family's 1478-position model. The record is from RNAcentral.
CUACGGGCGGCUCCAGGCGCGGAACCUCUACAAUGCACGCAAGUGUGAUAGGGGAACCCAAAGUGCUUACACUUUGUGUAGGCUUUUGCCAAGUGUAAAUAACUUGGAGAAUAAGUGGUGGGAAAGACUGGUGCCAGCAGCCGCGGUAACACCAGCGCCACAAGUGGAAAUCGUUUUUAUUGGGCCUAAAGCGUUCGUAGCUGGUUUGACAAGUCUUUUGUGAAAUCGCUGGGCUUAACUCAGCGGCUUGCAAGAGAUACUAUCAUUCUAGGGACCGGGAGGAGCAAGAGGUAUUCCAUGGGGAACGGUAAAAUGUAAUAAUCCAUGGAGGACCACCAGUGGCAAAGGCGUCUUGCUAGAACGGAUUCGACAGUGAGGGACGAAGGCCAGGGGAGCAAAACGGAUUAGAUACCCCGGUAGUC